This 329-nucleotide unclassified non-coding RNA is filed under the name plant metagenome. Its description in RNAcentral is "partial contains 5.8S ribosomal RNA, internal transcribed spacer 2, and large subunit ribosomal RNA". The stretch from base 1 to 105 matches the Rfam family "5.8S ribosomal RNA", at positions 50 to 154 of the family's 154-position model. The record is from RNAcentral.
GAAAUGCGAUAAGUAAUGUGAAUUGCAGAAUUCAGUGAAUCAUCGAAUCUUUGAACGCACAUUGCGCCCGUCAGCAUUCUGGCGGGCAUGCCUGUUCGAGCGUCAUUUCAACCCUCAGGACCCCCCUUUCGUGGGGAGGGACCUGGCGUUGGGGAUCGGCCCGCCCCCCGUGGCGGCGCCGUCCCCGAAAUCUAGUGGCGGUCUCGCUGCAGCCUCCCCUGCGUAGUAGUUACAACCUCGCAUCGGAGCGCGGCGCGGCCACGCCGUAAAACCCCCGACUUUCUGAACGUUGACCUCGGAUCAGGUAGGAAUACCCGCUGAACUUAAGC